This 440-nucleotide ribosomal RNA is filed under the name uncultured bacterium. RNAcentral's name for it is "partial 16S ribosomal RNA". It matches the Rfam family "Bacterial small subunit ribosomal RNA", at positions 338 to 795 of the family's 1533-position model. The record is from RNAcentral.
CCUACGGGUGGCAGCAGUAGGGAAUAUUGCUCAAUGGGGGAAACCCUGAAGCAGCAACGCCGCGUGGAGGAUGAAGGUUUUCGGAUUGUAAACUCCUUUUGUUAGAGAAGAUAAUGACGGUAUCUAACGAAUAAGCACAGGCUAACUCCGUGCCAGCAGCCGCGGUAAAACGUGGGGUGCAAGCGUUACUCGGAAUCACUGGGCGUAAAGAGCGCGUAGGCGGGUUAGGAAGUCAGAUGUGAAAUCCUAUGGCUUAACCAUAGAACUGCAUUUGAAACUGUGAUUCUAGAGUAGGGGAGAGGUAUGUGGAAUUCUCGGUGUAGGGGUAAAAUCCGUAGAGAUCACGAGGAAUACUCAUUGCGAAGGCGACAUGCUAGAACAUAACUGACGCUGAUGCGCGAAAGCGUGGGGAUCAAACAGGAUUAGAUACCCGAGUAGUC